RNAcentral lists this small RNA (581 nucleotides) under Pan troglodytes (chimpanzee). RNAcentral describes it as "retained intron". The record is from RNAcentral. Lineage: Eukaryota; Metazoa; Chordata; Mammalia; Primates; Hominidae.
AGAUUCUGGCAGGACCACUGGUGGGCAGGCAGGGGACAGUUGGGCCAUGUGGUGCUCUUCCCAGUCUGGUUCCUGUACAGUCUGCUCAUGAAGCUGUUCCAGCGCUCCACGCCAGCCAUCACCCUCGAGAGCCCGGACAUCAAGUACCCGCUGCGGCUCAUCGACCGGGAGAUCAUCAGCCAUGACACCCGGCGCUUCCGCUUUGCCCUGCCGUCACCCCAGCACAUCCUGGGCCUCCCUGUCGGUGAGUCACGCCCCUGCUGGGCCCACUCGGAGCCCGGCAGGCUGCUGGGGCACUAGAUCAGAGAGAUGGGAGCUUCACAUUUCCACCAGGGAGAGCGGGGAAGCCUUCAGGAGGAGGUGACAGCUGCCCUGGGCCUUUGAGGGCGAGUUUGUUGGAAUGAGAGUGGGAAGGCCCAGAGUCCCUGGCAGUGGCACCAGCAGGAGUGAAGGCAUGGAGGCAGGAAGCUGGGACGUGAGGGGAAUCCCCGGGAGGGGUGGGAGGGGGCCGUGGGAGCUGAGGCCAGGCCAGGCUUUGAAUGCCGGGUGGGGUGCAGGGGAGUGGGUUGACAAGACCCAGG